This 254-nucleotide ribosomal RNA is filed under the name uncultured bacterium. Its description in RNAcentral is "partial 16S ribosomal RNA". It matches the Rfam family "Bacterial small subunit ribosomal RNA", at positions 524 to 776 of the family's 1533-position model. The record is from RNAcentral.
GACGAACCGUGCGAACGUUAUUCGGAAUCACUGGGCUUAAAGCGCGUGUAGGCGGGAGGGCACGUCCGUCGCUGAAAUCCCCCGGCUCAACCGGGGAACGGGCGCGGAUACGACCUUCCUGGAGGGGCGUAGGGGGACCUGGAACUUCCGGUGGAGCGGUGAAAUGCGUUGAGAUCGGAAGGAACGCCCGUGGCGAAAGCGAGGUCCUGGACGCCUGCUGACGCUGAGACGCGAAAGCCAGGGGAGCGAACGGG